CUUUAUUCCCCGGAGUGGGAGCCCCUUUUAAAGCAGAAAUACGUCAUGUACAGAGUCACAGUUAACAUACAGUAUUCAUUCAACAAUUGGUUAACAGUCUGAGGGGUCUUGUCUAAACCCACCCUACAGGAUGUAAUGUCAUCAUUACAGAGUUCUCCCACCCAUAUUCCAGCUCCAUCUUGGUUACACGAUGGGAGGGGGGAGUGAGUAGUUACUGAACAGAGAGGGUCUGCAGGGGAAACAGUUACUUUAACAGCGAUUCUCCAUUUUGUUACACGUGGCACAUAGCUGUUAACUUGCACAAAGGAAGUGGGGAAGGAGUUUAGUAAAGGAAGCUGGGGAGGGUAGCCAGAUGGGAGGAAUUUACAGAGGAAAUAGUUACUCUUACAAGGCCCCCUUACAAGGAUAUUCUUUUAGGAAAUGUGUGACAAAUAAGACAUAAAUACAAGUGUAUAAUAGUAAAAAAGUCAUUAUUAUUCCAAGUAUUUUGUCCAUAACAAUGGUUUUGCCUUCUAACCUGGGGUCAAUGCCAGGCGCUGGUGAUGAGCAUCCGACUUCUGCAGAGAGGCAGAAGCAAGAUGCCGAACCCGUUCUGACGACCAUUGAUUGACUGAGAGCAUCAGCUGACUUGACUCAACUAAUGAAUGACAAUCUGUGCAUGGAAAUAUGCACAGAAUUAACAUUAGUGUGAUGGCUAUUGACACCCCAAUGAUGCUACCAGAGGUUGUGCUACAUCUACAGCAGCAAAGGAGUUAAACGCCAUAUUUUAUAGUGAAACACUGCCCAUACUGGCUCCUGGCACCAUGACCACUUAAGAUCACUGAAGUGAUUAUGGUGUUCGGAGUAGCCCUUUAAGAACACAAGCACUUUGGGCAUUUUUUUCCAUGUGUGUGUUCAAUUGUAAUUUCUAUUGGUCUUAUUUAUAGCACCAACACUGUAUGUAUGAUAUACUUUUUUUUUUCUUUAAAGGACAAAAAGGGUUUUAAAUUUGAUGUGACAUAUGCAUAUAUAAAUUCUCUUAUUUUUAUUAUACAAAAUACAAAAAAAAAAUAAUAAUAAUUCCCUAGAUUUAAAAGAAUAAACAGACAUAUUAGUACACGCCUUCCCACUGUCAUGGCAACCAUCUUGGUCCUCAUCUGUUAAAGUGACCCAGCCCCUCUUUUUCUAUUUUUUUAAUUUUAGUCCUACAGUUUAAUUUUCAUAACCCUUUUUAUACUUUUAUUUUAUACUAUAUCCUAAUUAUGUUUUAAUUGCAUUUUGGUCACAUGAUCUGUGACAAUCUGUGGUUUUUAUUUUUUUUUAUUUUGCAUGCGAUUUAAACAGGACCUGGUCCAGGGAUUUUGAUCCUAAAGAAAAGAAGCAGCUCUGUCCUACUCACAACAAACCCUAAAGUGGGAUGUUCACUCAGAACAGCCGCAGCAAACUUUGGAUGAAAGCCCAGGGCAAAAGUGAGCCAGUCACACCCCUAAAAAUGAAUGAAAGCAGUUGGCUUAUCUCCAAUCAAUCUGUAUUCACAUGUACAGAUGGGUAGCCAAGCUUGGGCAGAUUGAAAUUUAGAAAUAUAACCACAGAAACAUUAACAUACAAUUUAAAAAACAAACAAACCGUGACAUAUGCAGUGACAUAAUAUAAUUUCUCAACUAAAUCUGGUGAGCGCGGUGACCUCUGGGGAUUGAGGUUGUUGUUAGUAACUGAGAAGACCCUCUCACUCAGAACAUUUGUGAAUGGACAUGCCGUGAUCCUUUGCUCAACCAACCUAAGGCCUAGCAAUCACCUUGUUCCCAGUAAGUAAGAGGCUCUAUAGUAGGAUGUCAAGUGGGUUCUGAAAAAUAUCAGAGGUGCUACUCUGUGAUAAUAGGGUUUCACUGGUCCCACCAGAGUGGUAAUGACCUUGGCCCAAAUGGCUGCUGCUCCACUUUGUCUUCCAACACUAGCGAAGGCAGAGGAUCUUUGUGCAGAGGUGAUGCCACUGCUAUAUGGUGUUUCACCACUAAUUGUUUCUCUCAUUACCAACUCCCUUUGUUCCUCUAUUACCAUAUCCCUCUUUUACUGCAUCUCAUGCACUUUAUUAACUUUAUUAACUAGUCUGUCUUUCCAUAUGGGCUGGAAUAUACUUUCAGUGCACUCAUUUUUGUGGGGGGGGAAAAUAAAAAACAAAACUUUUUAAAAAUAAUUUUGUACUUUUUUUUUUUAUGCCUCUGCAAAACAGCUAAAAACUGCAGUGUUUAUAGGGCUAAGCCCGGCAGUGAACUCACC
Molecule: long non-coding RNA, 2256 nt
Filed under: Pelobates cultripes (western spadefoot toad)
Lineage: Eukaryota; Metazoa; Chordata; Amphibia; Anura; Pelobatidae
Source: RNAcentral